RNAcentral lists this unclassified non-coding RNA (89 nucleotides) under Pseudomonas moraviensis. Lineage: Bacteria; Pseudomonadati; Pseudomonadota; Gammaproteobacteria; Pseudomonadales; Pseudomonadaceae. The record is from RNAcentral.
UGUAGGAGUGAGCCUGCUCGCGAUAGCAGUGUGUCAGACAUAAAUUUCUCCACUGAUACACCGCUAUCGCGAGCAGGCUCACUCCUACA